Molecule: transfer RNA, 143 nt
Filed under: Synechococcus sp. WH 7805
Lineage: Bacteria; Bacillati; Cyanobacteriota; Cyanophyceae; Synechococcales; Synechococcaceae
Description: tRNA-Ala
Source: RNAcentral
UUUGAGGUGGAGGAGCUUGAGGAUCUCAGCCUCUUUGCGCAAGGCGUGGUUGUCGGUCACGUGCUGGAGAAGAACAAACAUCCCAAUGCCGACAAGUUGAGUGUUUGUUCGGUGGACGUGGGGGCUGAAUCUCCACUUCAGAU